AACGCAUAUUGCGCCCUUUGGUAUUCCGAAGGGCAUGCCUGUUCGAGCGUCAUUAUCACCCUUCAAGCCCCCGGGCUUUGGUGUUGGACGGUUUGGUCUCGGUGAUGAGACCCCUCCUAAAAUCAACGACGGCGGCCUGUUCGACCCCGGUACACUGAGCUUCUUAACUGAGCACGUAUCGGCCUAGGCAGGACCCGGCCUUCUUCCUUAACCGGAAAAUUUCUCUCAAGGUUGACCUCGGAUCAGGUAGGGAUACCCGCUGAACUUAA
RNAcentral lists this unclassified non-coding RNA (269 nucleotides) under uncultured fungus. RNAcentral's name for it is "partial contains 5.8S ribosomal RNA, internal transcribed spacer 2, and large subunit ribosomal RNA". The stretch from base 1 to 52 matches the Rfam family "5.8S ribosomal RNA", at positions 103 to 154 of the family's 154-position model. Lineage: Eukaryota; Fungi. The record is from RNAcentral.